UCUGUGAACUCCUACGGGAGGCAGCAGUGGGGAAUUUUGGACAAUGGGGGCAACCCUGAUCCAGCAAUGCCGCGUGAGUGAAGAAGGCCUUCGGGUUGUAAAGCUCUUUUGUCAGGGAAGAAACGGUAGUAGCUAAUACGUUAGUGUCUUGACGUUACCGAAAGAAUAAGCACCGGCUAACUCUGUGCCAGCAGCCGCGGUAAUACAGAGGGUGCAAGCGUUAAUCGGAAUUACUGGGCGUAAAGCGCGCGUAGGUGGUUUGUUAAGUUGAAUGUGAAAUCCCCGGGCUCAACCUGGGAACUGCAUCCAAAACUGGCAAGCUAGAGUAUGGUAGAGGGUAGUGGAAUUUCCUGUGUAGCGGUGAAAUGCGUAGAUAUAGGAAGGAACACCAGUGGCGAAGGCGACUACCUGGACUGAUACUGACACUGAGGUGCGAAAGCGUGGGGAGCAAGCAGGAUUAGAAACCCGUGUAAUCCAUCAGCG
RNAcentral lists this ribosomal RNA (483 nucleotides) under uncultured bacterium. RNAcentral's name for it is "bacterial SSU rRNA". It matches the Rfam family "Bacterial small subunit ribosomal RNA", at positions 328 to 801 of the family's 1533-position model. The record is from RNAcentral.